CUCUCUCUCUCUCUCUCUCUCUCUCUAUCCCUCCGUCUCUAAUAUGAAUGUAUAUCUACAAAACUUCUCUAUUAUGGCUAUCGAUUGAGGUCAAAGGAGGUUUCUUCUUUGUUCUUCCACUAGAUGAAUUAUGAGAUUCAAGGGUCUAAUCGCUAUAUCUAUUGAGAUCAAGUAUUUAAAAGAAAUAAGUGGAGAUUUAUAAAGAAUUAAAUUACGUGCGUAUAGUGAGAUGGAGCAAUUCAAAAAACAUUGGUGCAGAAAAAAAAUGCAACAAAUAAAAAUAUGCAACUAACAAGAAGGUACCUACUUUUGGUUCCACUAUUCCCCAUAGUAUUAAAUGAGAUGGAGAGAAGUGCUAUCACUAGAUUAUUAUUUUUUUUAUGAUGAUAAUAAUAUAUUUAACAAUAAAUAAGUACAACAAACCUUAUAGAUUGGUGAAAAUAUGCUUCAUUUGGCAAAGGAAAUGUGCCUUCAAAGGAGGAAGUAUCAACAUUUUUUACACAUUUCUCAACAAAUCACCAUAUACUUAAUUUUAAAGCUUUAAUGCUUAUUUCAUCCUUAAAUGGGGCACUGACCAUUUAUCAUCGGGUCUUAAUCUUUAUUUCAGGAUUGAAAUAGUCGAAAUAUUUUUCAUGUAAUUUCGUUUGUUGCUGUUCAAACAAGUACCCACAAAUUUCUAAUGGUAAAUUUAUGAUACUAUGACCUUUUUCUUACGUGAGAAAGCCCACUUGCUAAUGCAAAGAGCUGCCUUGAAGCAUAGGAAAAUAAGAUCCUUUUUUACUUGAGUAUGAACAUCUAUGAGAUUUUUCCAAGGGUUUACACAACAAAAUAUCUUCCUAUUGGCAUGAUAACACUUGAACAUGAUUUGACUAGAUUGUAUUAUCAAAGUUUACAUAUUUUUAAAUCAGCUCAUAUGUGGUUCACUUGACUUACUAAUAUGACCAAAAUAGUAUUCGAAUCACUCAAAAAAUGAAGGUUAUUAAUCAGACAAACCUUAUUUAACUCAAUCAUGACUCUUUUGUAAAUUAUAUAGAGUUAGAUAUUUCUUUUGAUAACUAAAGAAAAGGUAGUAUUAAGAAUGUUCAAUUUGGUGCUUAAGAAAUAACAUAUGUAGGACCAAUUAUAAAAUCUAUUUCUUUUUUUGUUGACAUGUAAAAGAAAGUUUUAUCUUCCUUUUAAAGAGAAAAAAAUAUUUGAAAAUUUCAAACUAAGAAAAAAAUUGAGAUGUGAACAUGAAAACUAAUGAAAUAUGCAUGAAAAGAUGGCAAAUACAUCACAUGAGCUCGAAAUUAUUUUCAUUUUUUAUCAUAUUUAAUUACCUUACAUAAAACACAAUAUAAAACUAAAAUAAAAAACAUGACAUUGGUUUCAUAAUUUAGAUACACAAUAUUAUCUAUUGAUCUUCUCAAUUUAUUUUUUAAGUAAAUACUACAGGAUUUUAAGCGACAUUUAGAUCAUGAGGGGAGAUUGAAUGGGUAUAAUCUUAAUAUUUGUCAAGAUAAUAUAUCUUCUUAAUUAUUUAAUUUUUUCAAUUAUUUUUCAAGUCCUAUAUAUUUCUUGGUUCAAAUAUUGUGAGUAUAAUAUUUUAUAAUGAUUCGACACAUUACCUAUGUCUACUUUCCAAAAGCAAACCGAAUUCUUAAGUUCUAAUAAGAUUAAUCAUCAGAUCUCAAGUACUAAUUAACAAACAACUUUAUUAAUUUUUUUUUACAAAAUUUUCGUUUUGUUUCAUGGCUCUAGAUAGUCAAAAAUUGAUAAUGACUUUAUCUCACUUGAGUAACUUGAGUGAUUAAAUUAUAUUUUAAUUAUGAGCUUAUCUCACAAUAAAUAAGAAAAAUAUUAUAAUGAAUAAAGCCUCAGAAAAUGAUAUAGACUUAUGGUCUAUUCAACAUUUUGAUGAUGAAGAUGAAACUCAAAGGUUGUUUUACAUUGUCAUAUCUUCCUAAUGAGGUUGAUGAAUGAUGAAAGAUUGCCAUUCAAAACUAUUUGAAGAUGUUUAAUGGAUGCCUUAUAAAUAAUCCUCAACUAAGUGAUUUCUCAUAUUAUGACCAAUUAGUAGAGACCUCUUGAUUUCUCACUUAUUUUGUGUGACAAAAUUUCACUUAAAACUUAAAGUUGUAGCUAAGAUAAAGAUAAUAGUUCUCAUUUCUUAUUGUUAGAAAUAUUCUUGAACUCUUGUGACCUUUUAAAAUCUAUGUUUGAAUAAACAUAAAUUAUAAUGACUAAGAACUGUUACCAUAUGUUCAUUAUAUGAUUUUGAUACCCUUGCAUGAAAUCAAUAUGUUCACGUCAUUUUGAUGAGAUUCAAUAGUGUGAACUAUAAAAGGAUAAUUCAUAUCUUAUUAAGUCAAUGGUUUAACAUUCAAAAUUAAUUAGUUAGCAAGUAAAACUUUUAUUAUAUAUUUUUCAUUUUAAAACUUUAUUUUGAUGUGAUUUCUGAAAAUGAGUAUGCUUAAUGGAAGGUCUAAAUCACAUACCUUUCUUGGUUGAAAGUUUGAUCUAAAAGUCAAAUAUUGGUAGAGAUGUACUUUUUGAUGAAGCCUCUACACAAAGAAAACAACAAAAAUAAAUGGUGAGAAUCAUGUUAGUAGCUUAAUUUAAGUAAAGCCAGUUGAUAAAAAAAUAAAAUAAAAAAAUUAUAGAGAACGUAUUAUAUGCCAUCAUAAUACUUGGUGAUAACACAUCAAGAGCAUUAUCUCUAUUUCAGGCAACAGGUAAUGCCAUUGUCUACACUCCAAUAUACUAUUCUCGAAUUGACCUAACCUUUGAGGAGAAUUAUCUUGCAUGAGCUUUAUCAUUGCUCUUAAACUCUUUGCUCAACCCAAUCUAAUAAGUCAAUUUAAAAAGACCUUCACUUCUUUGAUUGUUGUCACCUUAUAUUUAUAUCUCAAGAAAAAAAGCCUUGUGCAAAGUUUUGAAUGCACUAUCAAUGAAAAUAAAUUAAUGUAUUGUGAAUAUACUCAUUUAGAUUUAUUAAAAGCAACUCACAUAUAUAGAUAAACAAGUCAAUUUUUGACUCUUUAACAAAUGGAAGUCCUUUUAUAUUUGAAUUUAAGUUUUUCACACAUCAUUUGUUCUUUCACUCAUUGAAUUAUGUACAAUGAAUUUAUAUUGAAAUAAAAAUUAAAGCAUGAUGUUUAAAAUUUUCUAAAAAAUAAUUUAUCUUUAUGUUUAUAUGUGAUUAAAAGAUCAUUCUUAAGAACAUAUGGCCAUCUAAGAGAUAACUUUCGAACAUUGAAAAAAAUAUUUGAUCUUCCUUUUGAGUUUUUUCAUUCUCACAAUUAAAGAGAGAGGGUCUAUAAAUUAGAGCAACAUCAGAACAUGGUUCUAAUCAUAUCGGCCAUCUAAGCAUCCUGAAAGAAGACUAAUUCAUGACUAGAAGUUGUCAGUUCCAAGGGACCAAGAAAUUAAUGUAGGGUGAGGGAGAAAAGGAUGCAUGCCAAGAUUAAUGGUGUGUUCUCUAAUGGGCAUCAUGCAGCUUAGAGACUUAGGAGACUGCUACCUGAACCUAUUGUUCAAGCUAUCGUAACCCAUCAACGGCAACAAAGAGCAACAGGAGGGAGAGGGGGAGGCCAGGGGGUGCUUUCUUCGGAGUGGAGUGAGUGGUGGCAGUUUAAUAAGGACACGGAUCUUAAAAAGAAUCACUUUUCUUCAUCUUUUGCCGUUGACAACACUACACUACUAGUGGGACUCAAAAUGGAUUUCGUAAUCAAGUCAAGAGCUUGCCUCUCAUUGAUUGUUGAGUUGAUGUUCAUUCAUCCUCCUGGAGACAGGAACAGCCUACCCAAUACCCUAGUUAUCUUAUCCCCUAUAGCCUACCUAGAGGACUUUAGUUCGUAACAAGGUUUGAACAACCCUUGCUGGAUAUGAAAUGGAUCAAGUAGGGCAUCCAUUUACGGUGUGGGAAAUGGAAUUUAUGAUUGAUAUCGUAACUUCAACAUUUGAACAAAUUCAAGGUUCGCAAAACUAGAGACAAAAUGCCUUUACAAAGUAGAGUAUGGUAAGAAUGUCAAACCAUGUAUAAAUUCGAGCUUUCCAAUUUUACUGAUAAGAGUAAACGUAAGAGUUGGAUGUAUGAAGAUAAUAAUUAGCUCAUGGCCCUUUUGUGCCCCUAGAAAAAGAUUAACUCAAGACAUGGCAGCAUCUCCAUAAGAUACUUUUCGUUCAUGAAGUCUGAUGAUAGUGAAUAUUAGACAGUUAUGGAUUCAAAUUCAUCAAUUGAGAUCAGAUAAAGAGUAAAACCAACAUGGUAGGCAUACAUAAUUCAUUUUUAACAGGAAACGACGUGAUUUGUCUAUGAAUCAACAUCGCCACAGGUUUUGGAAAACCACAUGAAAGAUCCGCAGAAACAUAAUGAAAGUGAUAGCUUACAAUUGGAAAUGGGGGAAGAGAUGCAUACGAUUUGCCCUGAUCAGCCUGGGGUGCUCAAGCAAAAACUGCCUCACUUGUGGUCCUCCAUCUCGACGACGUUUUCGCUUCUGAUUCACGAAGCGGCCACUAGCCUGGUUUUGUUGUUCUCCACCAUCAGUUUCCCUCGACAUCACGUCUUCCAUCUCCGGCCUGGCCUCAAGGUCCUCCCGGACAGACGAGCAAUCCCCGGGGGCUUCCAUGCUUCCUACUCCUCGCCAUCCUCAUCUCAAUCUUUCGUGCUCUUCUCCUAUCAUCUCCCCAUUCUCUCAGAUCCCUCGUCCUCGAAGAUCUUUCCUACAGCAACCGGCCUCGCAUCCGGCCACUGUCCCUCCCAACCUCUUCAACGGUGACCGCCCUUUCGUCAAGCCAUUCGGCAACUGUUUCGCGACCUGACUAAGGCGCGGCGCCCCACACUGAAAAGCUCACCAACGUGAUUCCUCCUCCUCAUCUCCAUCUUUUUUCUUCCUCCGCCGAUGGCAGCAGAUAUGAACUUCUUCCUCCCCAUUUCUCGAGAUCCCUUCCCCCGAUCCUCCUACGCCUUCAACCCUCACUCCCUCUGUUCUUCUACGCCUGAUACGAUACCUUCUCCGGCAGUGCUCCACCGCGCUUCCUCCUUUGUCUUCCUCAUCGCCGGCGACGUCCUCCUCCAGCGCAGGAAAGUUCUUCCUCCUCGACCGCCUCUGCAGUCACC
Molecule: long non-coding RNA, 5101 nt
Filed under: Spirodela polyrhiza (greater duckweed)
Lineage: Eukaryota; Viridiplantae; Streptophyta; Magnoliopsida; Alismatales; Araceae
Description: long non-coding RNA (SPOL_LNC002041)
Source: RNAcentral